Molecule: ribosomal RNA, 264 nt
Filed under: uncultured archaeon
Lineage: Archaea
Description: partial 16S ribosomal RNA
Rfam family: Archaeal small subunit ribosomal RNA
Source: RNAcentral
CACGCCGUAAACUAAUGCGCGUUAGGUGUAUCGGUGACCACGAGUUACCGAGGUGCCGAAGGGAAACCGUGAAACGUGCCGCCUGGGAAGUACGGUCGCAAGGCUGAAACUUAAAGGAAUUGGCGGGGGGAGCACCACAACAGGUGGAGCCUGCGGUUUAAUUGGACUCAACGCCGGGAAGCUCACCGGAUAGGACAGCAGAAUGAUUGCCGGGCUGAAGACUCUGCAUGACUAGCUGAGAGGAGGUGCAUGGCGUAGACGUCU